Molecule: unclassified non-coding RNA, 897 nt
Filed under: Caenorhabditis elegans
Lineage: Eukaryota; Metazoa; Nematoda; Chromadorea; Rhabditida; Rhabditidae
Description: Non-coding transcript of protein-coding gene C24A8.6c
Source: RNAcentral
AUGAGACGUUUAUCCGAGAUGAUAUCUGAUUGGGAACGACCGUCAAGAAGUUCGAUCAGUAACAUGUAUCUUUAUGCGAGAAGAGAAAGCGUCUACAUUGCAAGGAAGAAGUUGGCCGGUCUGAAAGACUGGGCGCUGGACCUGUUAGCAAAACUGAAAUCCAAGCAGGGAAUGGCGAUUCGUCGAGAGACUCGUGCAACCAAGUUGGUUGCAACUGUAAUGGUGGUUUUUCUCGUCUGCUGGCUUCCGUUUUUCACAUUGAACAUGAUCAAAAUUUACAAAUUGAUAUUCAACGUUUGGUCAGCGGACCUCGAAAUUUGGUUCCAUUGGUUUACCGCACUGGGGUAUUUGAAUUCGUCACUCAACUUUUUCAUUUACUCAACAAUCAAUCCAAAAUUCCGUCAUUCAUUCCGCCGCUUACUUGGCUUCCGUCGAUCUUCUCGACGUCAGAGAGAAAAAUCGUGGAUGUUACCGCCACGAGAUAGCAGCAGAGGUCCUGCAAAAUGUGGAUGCGGUUUCCAUAAAAUCGUGAAAAGCCCUCUGCGCAAAACGAGCUCAGCUGGACCAAUGAACAACAGAAAAAUUUCCAUGCAAAAACCAGAAAUCGUCAUUGACGAAAUUUCACCGAAUCGAAUUUCAAUCUCCGCCGGAGGAAACACAACUUUUAGAUUUAGCACAUCCAGACCCCACCCGGUUUAGGCGAUCUUCGGAUGAUUGUAUUCGUAGAUCAUCUUCUGAAAUAAUCGGCGGUAUCACUCUUCCAUCUCAAAGUAGUAAUGAUAAACGAAGAGGAUCCGGUAUGUCAAAUAGUUCAGCAUCUCUCCAUAUCCAUGAAACGCGAAUGACGUUCGAAGCAAUGGUCAACGAUCAGGCUGAUUGCGAAAUUUUUGUUUAAUU